Molecule: transfer RNA, 88 nt
Filed under: Moniliophthora perniciosa FA553
Lineage: Eukaryota; Fungi; Basidiomycota; Agaricomycetes; Agaricales; Marasmiaceae
Rfam family: tRNA
About the family: Transfer RNA (tRNA) molecules are approximately 80 nucleotides in length.
Source: Rfam by way of RNAcentral
GCCCGCGUUGUCUAAUGGUUAUGACGUCAGACUUCUAUGAUCUCUGUCAUAAAUCUGGAGGUUGCGGGUUCGAGUCCCGCCGUGGGUU